Long non-coding RNA from Mesoplodon densirostris (Blainville's beaked whale), 441 nucleotides. RefSeq lists it as uncharacterized. The transcript is spliced from 3 exons. NCBI's taxonomy places the organism in Eukaryota, Metazoa, Chordata, Mammalia, Artiodactyla, Ziphiidae. The record is from RefSeq and is a predicted model, not a curated record.
CAGGCCUUGGCGGUUCUGGUUUGCAGUUCUGGCAGCCCCGGCCCUGCGUCCCUCCUUCCCUGCUGCCACACGACUGAGCUUUGGCACCGAACCAAAGCUGAUGGAAAAACCUAGCCUCUAUCUGGAACACUGUCAAUCUGGCAGAAAGAAAAAGACAAGACAAAUGAGGCCCUGACUUCUACAACCUAGCACAAAAGUGAUCAACAUUUCUUUUUUGGCCAAAGCAAGUCACAUGGCCAUUCCCAAGGUCAACGGUGUGGGGAUAUAUCCUACGGAGAGGAGCACAGCUGGGAAAGAAACUGGAAAGUUUGGUGAACAAGAAGACAUCUCCCACUGCCUCCUCCUAGGACAACUUCCCUCCCAGAGGGAAAGCUGGCAUCAAGUGACUUUCUCCUCUGUAUAUCUGAGCAACGCAGUUUCUCCAUCUCUGUAUAAAGGUAA